UACUGGCAUUGUUGGUUUCUCCCUUCUGACGAACCAUGAUGUCCUUUAUUUGGUGUUGUGGGGAAUCAGGACUGUUACUUUGAAAAAAUUAAAGUGUUUAAAGCAGGCUCACGCUUGAAUACAUUAACAUGGAAUAAUGAAAUAAGACGUUUGAUUCUAUUUUGUUGGUUUCCAAGAUCGACGUAAUGAUUAAUAAGGAUAGUUGGGGGCAUUAAUAAUCCAUUGUCAGAAGUGAAAUUCUUGGAUUUAUUGAAAACUAACUACUGCCAAAGCAUUUGCCAAGGAUGUUUUCAUUAAUCAAGAACCAAAGUUAGGGGAUCGAAAAACAACAGAUACCGUCCUAGUCUUAACCAUAAACUAUGCCCACUAAGGAUCGGAAGAAGUUAAUUUUUUUAUGACUCAUUCCGCGCCUUACC
RNAcentral lists this ribosomal RNA (416 nucleotides) under uncultured Glomeromycotina. RNAcentral describes it as "bacterial SSU rRNA". It matches the Rfam family "Eukaryotic small subunit ribosomal RNA", at positions 678 to 1092 of the family's 1831-position model. Lineage: Eukaryota; Fungi; Glomeromycota. The record is from RNAcentral.